Molecule: long non-coding RNA, 724 nt
Filed under: Salarias fasciatus (jewelled blenny)
Lineage: Eukaryota; Metazoa; Chordata; Actinopteri; Blenniiformes; Blenniidae
Description: lncRNA (ENSSFAG00005023188.1)
Source: RNAcentral
UUCAGAAUGAAUCAGUCAGGGGAACAUCUGCUUCUGAUCCUCAUCUUUUAAAACUGAAAGAUACUGUUUUUUAUGUUCAUCAUAAUAUCAAUAAUUAACAUGACAUUCUGGGUUCAACAGUGAAAAUCAGCUGUUCGAAUCCAUCAAGUUACCUUCACUGACAAAUUACUAAAAUAACUGCCUAUUGGAAGAUUAUCAGUGCUGUUGAAACAGUUUUCUAUUAAUUGUUUUUACUUUACGUUAUUGUUGAUAAAAAGAGAAAAGUAUUCUCUCACUACCAAAAAAAACUGUAAGACAACUUGUGUCUCUGCAGAUGAUCAGCGGUUUGGAUUCGGAGUCCUCCUUACUCUGAGGAUUGUGGGAAUCGUAGCUCUCUGCAGUUCAGUCGUCAUCUUUGAGUGCUGGUUCAGAAGGUUUCGCCAAAACCAAUGAAGGACUCACAAGAAGCAGACUAUGUCAACACAGUGGAGGAGAGUCGAGCCUCUUGAGCCACGAGGAGAAGAAGAAGAUGUUAAAUCCAUCAUCAGUGACGUGGUUUAUUCUUUCUAAUUAUGUCUAACAACAUGUUUGUCAUUCAUGUGAUUCACAGCUUGAUAUUUUCUUUGUACAUUUAAAUUAGUUUGAUCUAGAUUUAUCAUUUGGAGUUAUUUUUUUUCCUUUUGUGCCUUUUUGUGAUCAUUUAUGAGCAACUCAUAUCCUCAGCAUUUGCUUUUUUUUCUUUUGG